UAGGUAGCUUAACCUUCGGGAGGGCGCUUACCACUUUGUGAUUCAUAACUGGGGUGAAGUCGUAACAAGGUAACCGUAGGGGAACCUGCGGUUGGAUCACCUCCUUACCUUAAAGAA
This 117-nucleotide ribosomal RNA is filed under the name Escherichia coli. RNAcentral's name for it is "partial 16S ribosomal RNA". It matches the Rfam family "Bacterial small subunit ribosomal RNA", at positions 1427 to 1533 of the family's 1533-position model. Lineage: Bacteria; Pseudomonadati; Pseudomonadota; Gammaproteobacteria; Enterobacterales; Enterobacteriaceae. The record is from RNAcentral.